This 72-nucleotide transfer RNA is filed under the name Camelus bactrianus (Bactrian camel). It matches the Rfam family "tRNA". From Rfam's summary of the family: Transfer RNA (tRNA) molecules are approximately 80 nucleotides in length. Their secondary structure includes four short double-helical elements and three loops (D, anti-codon, and T loops). Lineage: Eukaryota; Metazoa; Chordata; Mammalia; Artiodactyla; Camelidae. The record is from Rfam by way of RNAcentral. RNAcentral also lists the same sequence under 2 other names.
GAGGGUAUAGCUCAGUGGUAGAGAGCAUGCUUAGCAUGCAUAAGGUCCUGGGUUCAUUCCCCAGUACUUCCA